Molecule: ribosomal RNA, 380 nt
Filed under: uncultured eukaryote
Lineage: Eukaryota
Description: partial 18S ribosomal RNA
Rfam family: Eukaryotic small subunit ribosomal RNA
Source: RNAcentral
CAAUAGCGUAUAUUAAAGUUGUUGCGGUUAAAAAGCUCGUAGUUGGAUUUCUGCCGAGGACGACCGGUCCGCCCUCCGGGUGAGUAUCUGGUUUGGCCUGGGCAUCUUCUUGGAGAACGUAGCUGCACUUGACUGUGUGGUGCGGUGUCCAGGACUUUUACUUUGAGGAAAUUAGAGUGUUUCAAGCAGGCACACGCCUUGAAUACAUUAGCAUGGAAUAAUAAGAUAGGACCUCGGUUCUAUUUUGUUGGUUUCUAGAGCUGAGGUAAUGAUUAAUAGGGAUAGUUGGGGGCAUUCGUAUUUAACUGUCAGAGGUGAAAUUCUUGGAUUUGUCAAAGACGGACUACUGCGAAAGCAUUUGCCAAGGAUGUUUUCAUUGA